This 1438-nucleotide ribosomal RNA is filed under the name uncultured organism. RNAcentral describes it as "16S ribosomal RNA". It matches the Rfam family "Bacterial small subunit ribosomal RNA". The record is from RNAcentral.
GGCGUGCUUAACACAUGCAAGUCGAACGGAAAGGCCCUGCUUUUGUGGGGUGCUCGAGUGGCGAACGGGUGAGUAACACGUGAGUAACCUGCCCUUGACUUUGGGAUAACUUCAGGAAACUGGGGCUAAUACCGGAUAGGAGCUCCUGCUGCAUGGUGGGGGUUGGAAAGUUUCGGCGGUUGGGGAUGGACUCGCGGCUUAUCAGCUUGUUGGUGGGGUAGUGGCUUACCAAGGCUUUGACGGGUAGCCGGCCUGAGAGGGUGACCGGCCACAUUGGGACUGAGAUACGGCCCAGACUCCUACGGGAGGCAGCAGUGGGGAAUAUUGCACAAUGGGCGGAAGCCUGAUGCAGCAACGCCGCGUGCGGGAUGACGGCCUUCGGGUUGUAAACCGCUUUCGCCUGUGACGAAGCGUGAGUGACGGUAAUGGGUAAAGAAGCACCGGCUAACUACGUGCCAGCAGCCGCGGUGAUACGUAGGGUGCGAGCGUUGUCCGGAUUUAUUGGGCGUAAAGGGCUCGUAGGUGGUUGAUCGCGUCGGAAGUGUAAUCUUGGGGCUUAACCCUGAGCGUGCUUUCGAUACGGGUUGACUUGAGGAAGGUAGGGGAGAAUGGAAUUCCUGGUGGAGCGGUGGAAUGCGCAGAUAUCAGGAGGAACACCAGUGGCGAAGGCGGUUCUCUGGGCCUUUCCUGACGCUGAGGAGCGAAAGCGUGGGGAGCGAACAGGCUUAGAUACCCUGGUAGUCCACGCUGUAAACGGUGGGUACUAGGUGUGGGGUCCAUUCCACAGGUUCCGUGCCGUAGCUAACGCUUUAAGUACCCCGCCUGGGGAGUACGGCCGCAAGGCUAAAACUCAAAGGAAUUGACGGGGCCCCGCACAAGCGGCGGAGCAUGCGGAUUAAUUCGAUGCAACGCGUAGAACCUUACCUGGGUUUGACAUGGAUCGGGAGUGCUCAGAGAUGGGUGUGCCUCUUUUGGGGUCGGUUCACAGGUGGUGCAUGGCUGUCGUCAGCUCGUGUCGUGAGAUGUUGGGUUAAGUCCCGCAACGAGCGCAACCCUUGUUCACUGUUGCCAGCACGUUAUGGUGGGGACUCAGUGGAGACCGCCGGGGUCAACUCGGAGGAAGGUGGGGAUGACGUCAAGUCAUCAUGCCCCUUAUGUCCAGGGCUUCACGCAUGCUACAAUGGCUGGUACAGAGAGUGGCGAGCCUGUGAGGGUGAGCGAAUCUCGGAAAGCCGGUCUCAGUUCGGAUUGGGGUCUGCAACUCGACCUCAUGAAGUCGGAGUCGCUAGUAAUCGCAGAUCAGCAACGCUGCGGUGAAUACGUUCCCGGGGCUUGUACACACCGCCCGUCAAGUCAUGAAAGUUGGUAACACCCGAAGCCGGUGGCCUAACCGUUGUGGGGGAGCCGUCGAAGGUGGGACUGGUGAUUAGGACUAAGU